Long non-coding RNA from Hylaeus volcanicus, 5029 nucleotides. RefSeq lists it as uncharacterized. The record is from RefSeq and is a predicted model, not a curated record. The transcript has 5 exons. Lineage: Eukaryota; Metazoa; Arthropoda; Insecta; Hymenoptera; Colletidae.
CUGGCGUUUGUGUCUUUGACGUUUGUCCUGUCUUUUGGAAGGGUUCUGUGUACAGCCAAGCUCUUCUGCUGUCGAAGCUCUGCUGCAGGCUUGUCUGUGCGUCGAGUAUUUGGAGGUGUGUUGAUAUUGAUUCUGUCGUUUGGAAGGGUUCUGUGUGCAGCUAGCCAAGCGCCUCGGCUGUCGAACGUCUGCUGAAGCUUACAGGCUUGUCUGUGCGCGUCGUGUGGUAUCCUCGGUAUUCGUUCAAUGAGAGCUUCAGCUGUCGUAUACACGGCGAACGGACAGACACAAACAAACAGACAGCAUACUUGUGCACGUGACAUACGCAACAGCACACUCACGCACAUCGAGAAGGCGCACGAUGCAUUUGGCACAUACCACCAUUAAUUUGGGUUAAUGGUAUCACAGCAAACGGAACACUGCAACGAUUAAGAACAGAAAUAAGAGACAAAGGAGCAAAAUCAAGGUCUGACGGACGCGGAUAGCUCGUUUCGAAGUUUCUCCAUUGGUGAUGGGAAACGGAGCCUGAUAAGUGAUGUAUUCUGGUAAAUUAUGGGACCAUUUACCAAAUUUUUCUAUGAUCUGGACUUCCUUGCGCAAAGUCCGCAUGCAGUGAGCUCACACACGCAUAGCACACGUACAAGGUACACCCUGGUGCUGCUCUUUUCCUCGAAUCCAUCGAGAAUGGAGGCCUGGAGGAGCUUCUGUAGGAGAAGCUUUCUGCCUGUGGAAACUUAAGCCAGUUUAUUAAAGAAGGCGAUGACUCUUUGUGGAAGAGAAGAUUCAUUGGCUGUUUCUGACUACGAUGGGGAGGAUGCGUUACUCGAAAUUCAAGUUUAAGUUAGGAAAAGUAAGAAAAUGAUGUUUACUUAGUUGAUUUUUACAGCAGAGACACUGAUCUUUCGCUUUGGAAACUUUAAUCGAAUGUUUACUCCUUUUCUAUUAAUUACAGAUAAAAUUGUAUGUUGGUUGUUCCGUGAUAUUAAUUUAUAUGUUUGUAAGUGGAAUAAGAUUACUCCUUUUUUAUUAAUUACAGAUAAAAUUGCAAACAUGUUGGUUAUCUUGCGAUAUCAAUUCAUAUGUGAUACGUUCGUAUAUGUGGAAUAAAAUGGCAAGCAUGUUCAUCGAAGAAACGUCUAAUCUAUUUAAAAAAAACUUCCCACGGAUGAAUAAAAAUGUAAUAAAAUUCAUGUCUCUCACAUUUCGAUUAUUAAACGGUUAGAACACAAACGUUUAUGCAAAUUGUAGAUGCAGAAAAUGAAUUCAACCUUAAAUCCUUAAAGUUUGUCCUGUCUUCUGAAUUUCUAGCAUGUACACAGUCUAUUAACACGUUCACUGCCAGACUAAAACUCUUGAAAAUUUCUACCGUGUUUAAAUUUUCUUUACAGACUUUUGGAAACUGCGUAACGAAAUAUUUAUUUUAGUAUUUAGUUUUGUAACUUCAUCAAAAUUCAAGUAUUUCAUUUAAAUUCAUUUUCUAUGACGCUUAACUUUUAGAAUUAAUAGUUUUCGUUUUUCAGUGAAAAGCACUGUCACCCAUAUAUGGGUGAGGUGGCGAUCAACGUGUUAAUAUGAUAUACUGAUACACAAUUUUCGACUACCUAAUACCAUGUUGAAUUUCGAGUAGCAUACAAACUCCUCAUCCUAGGUCGAAACCCAGGGAAUCGGCUCGAUUCGUCGUCCUCGCGAUCACAACGACUGAUCACCUUCCUCGGCCAAAGCUGGCUUAAAUUUUCCUACCAUCGACACGAACGAAUGGCUACACUUUCAUCUCUGCCUAUGAGUCGAUAAUGUCCUUAUGUUGUCUUGUAACAUGUUUACGCAGGAGCUUGGCAAGCCUUUCAAUAACAGAAUAGCGUUUUUGCGAGCGAUGUACAAUAAUAACACUUGAUACGUUUGCGUCUAGGUGCUUGGGCAUUUCCUUCGGAGAGGAAUUUUCGUCGUUUCGUGGAGUAUUCUGUAAACGCGUGGCAAACGAGGAGCUCCUUCAUGAAUUACUGAAGCCUCGAUAACGCGAGAGGUCCACUUGCCCUCGAAAAAAAAACAAAAGAACUUCGUCGACGCUGUUCCACCAUUGUCAACACUGUUCACAUUGUUAAGUAUACUCGUCGACAUCUGUUUACUCUCCAAUAUACUUGUGGAAUAAACUAGCAAAUACGCUGGUCGUCUUAAUUUAUAUGUUUAUACCAAACAGAGGCCUUAUUGGUACCCUGUAUACUUUCAUCGACUCUUCUGAUAUAAUUUUGUAAUAAAAUUGGAAGAAUGUUGGGUGCUUGUGAUAUAAAUUUGUAUGUUUGUACCAAUUAAAGGCUUUAUUGGUGUACUGUAUGCUUUCAUCGACUCUUCUGAUAUAAUUUUGUAAUAAAAUUGGAAGAAUGUUGGGUGUCUUGUGAUAUAAAUUUGUAUGUUUGUACCAAUUAAAGGCUUUAUCGGUGUACUGUAUACUUUCAUCGACUCUUUCAAUAUAAUUGUGUACCAGAAUGAAUAAUCAAACAUGUUGACUGUAUAUGAUAUUAAUUUGUACGUCUACACCAAAUAAAGAAUUAAUAUAUCGCAUUCUUUCAUCGACAAGGAAUCUCUAGCAUUUAUCUUGAAAAAAUAUUAACCACCCACGGUGAACGUUUUGGGGAGUAUAAAUACUUAUGUGACUUGCGAUACUCUGUUAAUUAACAAGAACCAUUUUGGAUUAUAAAUUUGUAUCGAAAUGGAUGAUGGAAACAGAUGUCGAUCAGAGUGAUGAUUAAUCAAACGAAUUACAUAAUUACAACUGUUAGUGUAAUACAAGUGAUGUCGUGAUGACCAAAGAAGCUAAUUUCUAUUUGAACGUUACAAUUUCAAUAAUGUUGAAUCAACACGAUAGUAUCUCACAAAGAACCUUAUUUCUGUUUGUAUACUAGAAACUCAUGAUAACAUAUCCAUCACUGAUAACUACUUCAUUCUUCACCUUUCGCUACAUUUUUCCACAAUCUAUUCUCAAUUCUUAUUCAAUCGUAUUGCAAUUCAACUAAACGAUAACUCUAAAGUACACACCAUAGUGUAACUGAAAUUACUACGUAACCGAAUUGCUUCUGUAACUAGUAAUUCCCGGUUAUGUACAUUACAUAAUGUGUAAAUGAAUUAUUAAGUGGAAUUAUUAAGUAUUAACGGUUAGAAUCAAUAUAGAAGGUAACAGUUUAUGUAGUGUACAUUAUGUACGUGGAUUACACGCGCUAAUUGUGUACACGUGUAAUUGCCAACAGAACUAGGAUACUGUGAACAUUGUCGACAAGUUCGUGGCCAGUUUUGGUAGAACAGCGUCGACGAAACGGUUUGUCAACGACUCGAAAUUAAUCUGACCCUGAAACAAAAACUUUUAAUGAAACCAAAGAAAGACUGAGAUGUAAAUCAACCGAAGGAAGUGUCCUGUAGAGCCACGCGGAAUAUCGCGACGCAAUCUAAAAUUAACUGAAUGGCGUGAAACGGAAUAAAUAAACUGGUAAUCGACAUAGUGUGUCCAGUAUAGAGAUAGAGAAAGAGAGAAGGAGAGAGAGAGAGAGAGAGAGAGAGAGAGAGAGAGAGAGAGAGAGGGGAAAAAUAAAAAAGAAAGAAAGAAAUAGAAAUUGCAAAAGCGUACGUUGCCGUGUAUGUGUUUUCCAAGCACACAUAUAUACGCGUACACGCGUUCAUAUACGCGUAUACAUACGCGCAUGCAUUUCACAUACACGUGUGUAUGUAUACAUAUAUUUACGUAUAUACACGUAUAUACGGGUAAAUUGUGUACGUACAUACAUAUACGCAUAAACGUGCAUGCAACAAUUUAGAAGAGAAUGAUGGUUAAGAUGGAAAUUGGAAGCGAUUAGGUUUAGUGAAAUUAAGAACGGAAGGUCAAGUUCGAAGGAAGAAAUCUUUACUUCAAUUUCUUAGUUGGUCCUAUAUGCUUGGCAUAACAAGAACUUUGUCUAUUUCUAUACAAUGAAUUCCAGAAGUUAAACGCUGCCAGUAGGCAAAGUGUUAAUAUCACAGCGUAGGUAGAGUUUAACAUGUUGAAUUCGUAAAUCUUGACAAUAACACAAAAGCAAGUAAUACGAUAUUAUAUUCUAUAGUUUUCAAUUGCCUCUAGACAAAAUUUUAUCUCUGUAAACACUUCUAAGUGAAUCAGUCUGGCAGCCAACGUGUUAAAAGUAAGUAAAAUAUGUUUUCGCAAAGUGCCAGGAGAAGUUUUUGCCAAACGUCAGGAUUCUCAGGCCAAUCGACAGCUUGCAAGGAUUCCAAGGAGCUGAAAGAAGAGUAUAAAGCGUGAGGAUGUGGAUUAACCCUUCGAAAGGAACUCCUCGUGUCGAGAAUCUCAGUUUAAGUGGACCACGAAAGGCUAAAGUGAAUACAGAGGGGAAAGGUUGGAAGUUCGGGGCAAGUAAUACAAAUAAUAAAGAAAUUGCGCGAGAGAAGCGACUUCCAAGCAGAACUGCGACGAAACAGAGCAGAAACAGGCGAGUUAAUACACGUUGGAAAGACAGACACGACCAGAAGACAAACUUAGGCCUGGGCGAAGAAAGUAAGAUAGGCAGAAACAGUUGUGAAAGAAAGUCCAGUUAGAAAUUAAAAUCAAGAUGAGCGUGAAUCUCAACGUUCAAGAAAAGUAUUAUAGUAAUGUUAAAGAGCGCAGAGUAAACGAGUAAGAGAGUAACCAAGUACGUCAAACUUGAAAGCAAAAGAAUCAAAUGAAAAAUUAAAAGAAAAAAAAAAGAAAAAGAAAGAAAAGGAAACCCAAGUAGUAAGAGACAAACUGGUUAAUGGAAAAAAACAAAGAACGGUCAAACAGUGCGGAGAUUGGACUUGCGGACUAACCAUAUAGUAAUCCUGAGAGGGGGAUCUGCCUGUCACAGAUACAUUCUGCACCAGAGUUCUAUUGCUCGUCUGAAAAGUAAACUCGCAGGGGCGCGAAUCAGGUGGAUCGUGUUCAGUCUUUUUCAUGGUUCACACAUAUAGUUACACAAGCACUCGUACCCUUUAUAACCAUCGAAGAAACUUUUCUCAAUUAUUAGACUGAAAU